Molecule: long non-coding RNA, 830 nt
Organism: Tigriopus californicus
Lineage: Eukaryota; Metazoa; Arthropoda; Copepoda; Harpacticoida; Harpacticidae
Exons: 3
Source: RefSeq, a predicted model, not a curated record
UUGCCGCCGCCGCCUCCAUCGCCGCCGUCGCCAUGGAUGUCCCCGUCAAGGGUGGAUCUCGAGUGAGGGAUCAUUUGAACCUGGAGCGUGUGCUGGAGCUCGUCCGUGAAGUUGGAAUUGAACGGGAAUUGCGCCAUCCUAAGGGAAAGCCUCUGUAGGUGGAGGUGGCCAAAAAGUACAACGCCUCUGAGGGGUUACAAGGGGAUGAUCAAUACAAGUCUGCCAGCUUGAAACGGGCCUGGAACAACUUAAAGGUUCGAGCUCGGAAGAAAAAAUCUGCGUUUGUCAAAGACCUCAAAAAGACGGGUGGGGGUCCACCGCCCUCGCGGAGAUUGAGCCAUUUUGACCGGGAUGUAUUGGCUGAAGCGGGAGAUCGGAUUGAAUUUGAGUCCAAUUUUGAUUCCGAGAGUCAGUUUGACCGAGCUGCCCAAGAACGAAGUGAAGCAAUAGCGUUGCGUGACGAGUCUGACUACGAGAAGAUUCAAGAGGUGGAACCGUGCAUUGCGGAGAUUCGGCUCGAGAAUUGCCUGGAACAAGACAUGGUUCUUGUUGAGGAAGGUCAGCCUCUGUCAUUCCAGCUUCUACCAAUCGGUGUUGAUGCCGCCAACAGGGAAUCCGAUCCAAGCCCAUGACAGAAGGACGUUAAAGCUCAAAGAAUUGAAAAAACCAAGGACCCUGCUAUCUUGUUCUACCUGAACCCUAAACAAGGCCAACUCCAAUCGGAAGACUUGACUGAUGUGACGCCGCAACUGUCAUUGCCUCGUUCGUCACCACCUCGUUUGUCACCACCUCGUUCGUCACCACUGAUGUCACUCGUCAAUUUGUCAAUU